This 305-nucleotide ribosomal RNA is filed under the name uncultured bacterium. Its description in RNAcentral is "bacterial SSU rRNA". It matches the Rfam family "Bacterial small subunit ribosomal RNA", at positions 335 to 655 of the family's 1533-position model. The record is from RNAcentral.
UGUCCUACGGGACGCAGCAGUGGGGAAUAUUGGGCAAUGGGCGCAAGCCUGACCCAGCAACGCCGCGUGAAGGAAGAAGGCUUUCGGGUUGUAAACUUCUUUUAUUGAGGACGAAACAAAUGACGGUACUCAAUGAAUAAGCCACGGCUAACUACGUGCCAGCAGCCGCGGUAAUACGGAGGAUGCGAGCGUUAUCCGGAUUUAUUGGGUUUAAAGGGUGCGUAGGCGGGCUUUUAAGUCAGCGGUAAAAAUUCGGGGCUCAACCCCGUCCGGUCGUUGAAACUGGGGGCCUUGAGUGGGCGAGA